Molecule: ribosomal RNA, 499 nt
Filed under: uncultured bacterium
Lineage: Bacteria
Description: bacterial SSU rRNA
Rfam family: Bacterial small subunit ribosomal RNA
Source: RNAcentral
GAUGAACGCUAGCGGCAGGCUUAACACAUGCAAGUCGAGGGGCAGCGUGAGGGUUAGCAAUAACCCUUGACGGCGACCGGCGCAAGGGUGCGUAACGCGUGAGCAACUUGCCCUUAUCAGGGGGAUAACCGGUGGAAACGCCGACUAAUACCCCAUAGCAUCAACUUAGGGCAUCCUUAGUUGAUUAAAGAAUUUCGGAAACGGAUAGGCUCGCGUGACAGUAGCUAGAUGGCGGGGUAACGGCCCACCAUGGCUACGAUGUCUAGGGGUUCUGAGAGGAAGGUCCCCCCANACUGGAACUGAGACACGGUCCAGACUCCUACGGGAGGCAGCAGUGAGGAAUAUUGGUCAAUGGUCGGAAGACUGAACCAGCCAAGUAGCGUGAAGGAUGAAGGUUCUAUGGAUUGUAAACUUCUUUUAUACGGGAAUAAAACCUCCACGUGUGGGAGCUUGUAUGUACCGUAUGAAUAAGCAUCGGCUAACUCCGUGCCAGCAGCCG